This 253-nucleotide ribosomal RNA is filed under the name uncultured bacterium. RNAcentral's name for it is "partial 16S ribosomal RNA". It matches the Rfam family "Bacterial small subunit ribosomal RNA", at positions 524 to 776 of the family's 1533-position model. The record is from RNAcentral.
GACAGAGGGUGCAACCGUUGUUCGGAAUUACUGGGCGUAAAGCGCGUGUAGGCGGCUACAUAAGUCGGGCGUGAAAUCCCACGGCUCAACCGUGGAAAUGCACUCGAAACUGCGUAGCUAGAGUCCUGGAGAGGAAGAUGGAAUGCUUGGUGUAGAGGUGAAAUUCGUAGAUAUCAAGCGAAACACCGAUGGCGAAGACGGCCUUCUGGACAGUGACUGACGCUGAGACGCGAAAGCGUAAAAAGCAAACAGG